Molecule: unclassified non-coding RNA, 267 nt
Filed under: uncultured fungus
Lineage: Eukaryota; Fungi
Description: partial contains small subunit ribosomal RNA, internal transcribed spacer 1, and 5.8S ribosomal RNA
Rfam family: Eukaryotic small subunit ribosomal RNA (bases 1-73)
Source: RNAcentral
UCAAACUUGGUCAUUUAGAGGAAGUAAAAGUCGUAACAAGGUCUCCGUAGGUGAACCUGCGGAGGGAUCAUUACCAGAGUGAGGGUGAAAACCCGACCUCCAACCCCAUGUACUUCAUACCAUGUUGCCUCGGGGGCGACCCGGCCUUCGGGCGUCGGGGCCCCCGGUGGACCCGUAACACUGCAUCUAUGCGUCUGAGUGAUUAAUCAAUCAAUCAAAACUUUCAACAACGGAUCUCUUGGUUCUGGCAUCGAUGAAGAACGCAGC